AUAUGCAGUUGCCUAUUAUUGGUUAAGAUUUUCAAGAUUUAGAUGAGUCUCAUUGGUUAAGAUAUACGAUAGUGCUGCUUUAUAUAAACGAUGUUAUAAACAUCUUGCCGUUAUGAACUAAAGUGCAUUAUAAAACAGAACGAUUGCUAAUAUGUUAACAUAAGUAUUUGAUAUGUAAUCGUAUUUUAUAAAAUGUUGAUUAGUAUUUAUUACGGCUCGUUGUUGAAUUUAAUUAAAAAGAAAAAAGAAAUGUGAAGAAUAAAGGAAAAAAUAAGAAAUAUAAAGCAAACAAAUAAAAUCAAGUGCGAAGGAGAAAACGAAUGAAAAGAAAUCAAUUCGUACAUGAUAUACAACAAUUAAAGUUAACAAGUUAUGUAGAUAGUGUUCUGAAGUAGUCUCAGAAUUUACUUAUAAUGAAACACUGUAAGAAGUUAAAAAAAGUGGAUUCUAACACAAAAUUAUCAACUAAUGAAAAAAAUAAAAUUCUUAAACUUCGAUGAUUAUAUCAUCAACGUCGGAUACAUUGCAAAAGAUCAAAAAUACGAUGGAUUUUUAAGCUAAGAAAAAAUUUUGGGAACUCUAAGGACUUUAGGUGGCAAGCGCAGAAGAUUGUAUGAUUUUUCAAGAAAAGGAAUAGAUUUGGGAAUAAUUAUUAUCAGGAGAGCGAGACAAUCUUUUAAAAAAAUUUCCAUUUGUCUAACAUACUUAUAUUUGUUAAAAAAUGAUGUUCAUAAUACAUUAUCUUCUGCAUGAUUAAUUUUAGAUAAACUUUUAUAUAAUUGUGGACGAAAUUGUAAGAAUAAUAAAACAAGAAAUAUAAUGCUUGAUAAUCAACUCAAAAUUGUGUCUUCGAAUGUGAUAUAUAAUACAUAAAUGUAGGAUGAAAGAUUUCAGAGCUAGUUAGUCUCGCAUAUAUGUGUGUGAAAUAUGGCGAUUGAUAGUCGAACAGAGAGAUAGAAGGUUCCAGAGCUAGUUAGACGUGUGUAUAUGCAUGCGUGAAGUAAGCCAAUCUGCAGUUGAACAAAGAAAUAGAAAGUUCUAGCGUUUGUCAGUUGUGUACGUGUGUGUAUGAGACAAAUUGGUCGGCAGUACGUUAUGAAAAGAAAAUCAGGAGCUAUAUAUAUAUAAUAUAUAUAAUAUAUAUUCGUUAUCGAAUAUAUAUGUGAUAGCGAAGCAGACGUAGCUAAUGCGAUAAUCGCAUUUAUCAAUGAAAUUUUAUUUGUAUAGAAACACCAUACGCGUUACUUACUCGCUCUACUCGUUUCGCGAGCUGCGAUUGUUUGUAAGAAUUAGUCUAACACAAUACCAAUUCCAUAUGUGCGUGAAGGAAAAUCUGGAUUACAAAAAAAACGUUUUUCUUAAAAAUUUUUUGCUGGUUUUUCUUAUGUACGGGAUUCGAAUCCAGUUGCGUCCAGGUUAUGUUAAUCAUUUUGAAAAUUUCGUGGAUCCAAAUACUUAAAUUCAUUUACAAAAUAUAGAGAGAUUGUAGAGAGAAAUGUGUAUUCAUUUUUUGAUAUUCGGAAGAAUCAUAAGCAUUAUAUUGUUGAAUUGUUAUUUAAAAAGACUUUAUAUCUUUGAUAAACCUAUUGAUUUCUUUUUAAAUAAUCAACACAACGUAUUUAAUAAACAAUUAAUUCAUCAUAUUAAUAUUUUAUUUCUUAAUGCUUUAUAUUUGUAUGUUUAUUUAAGUAUAUAUAGCUGUAUAGUAUCAUAAAUUGAAACCGUGUGAGUAAGAUUUUCUUCCAUUUGUUCUAACCAAAAGCAAGUAUUAUGAACUUAUGAUUGUAGAGCAGGAAGACAAGGAAAUAAUAGACGAAAAUAAAAAAGUGCUUCGUAUUUGUCAUCGUAUCUUAUUAGUAUUAGGUAUAUCUAUUGGUGGGUAGUUAUGUGCCCAAAUUAUUGUAGAUACGAUUUCGUAUCAAAGAUCAAUUUCAAGAUUCAUUAAGAAUUCGUACGAAAAACUAGCACUCGAGGUAAUGUAUGGAAUGCAUUCAAAAAAGAGGACGGAGAUUUUUGUGAGACACUAGCGAAUAUAGAUUGGCUAUAUGGUACUUUUCUCUUUUAAAUAUAUUUUAAAUUCUUUCGUUAUUAUAAAUCACUACCAUUAUAUUAGGUGGUCCGGAAAGUAAUGUCGUUUC
Molecule: RNA transcript, 2138 nt
Organism: Vespa velutina
Lineage: Eukaryota; Metazoa; Arthropoda; Insecta; Hymenoptera; Vespidae
Exons: 2
Source: RefSeq, a predicted model, not a curated record